GACAACCUAAACCUAAUGCGAAAAAGAAACAGAAAAAGAAAUAGCUCGUUGCCUAGGGAAAACCCUUACCCGUCCCAUCCUUUAAGUCGGCACCAAUGACUGACGGUUUCCAUUUCCCAAAAAAUUUCCAAAUUCCCAUCCCUGCAUCCAGAAGCUUUAUUUCCUCAAGACCAGAUCUGCAAAGCCUUUGUUUCACACAAGGACUCAAAAUUUGAUCUCUUCCACAAGCCUCAAUCAGGUUCGCGAAUCCAAUUGUCUACUAGAAUCUUCACAGCGUAUCUCGGGACAGAACUCCUCAGGUAAAACUCCUCACCUUUUCUCAAACUUACAGAAGCUAUAGUGUCAGCAAGCUUGUUCGCUGAUCUUCUAACAUGCAUGAAACAAAUCUUCCGAAAAUUCCCUAAAAUGCUCUUAAUGUUUCGAAUAUUGAGAGAAAUUUCUGACUUAUCUAUGGAGACUGAUUUACAUUUUUUAAUAGUCGAAAGUGAAUCUCCAUCUAAAAUUAUUUCUGUUAUGCUCAAAUCGAUCCCCAUUUGAGCUGCCCCAAAGCAGGCGAGGGCCUCCGCUGCAAAAGCCAAGCCAACAUUCUCGUGUAUAGUUGAACCGGAGGCAAUCACUCUCUCCCUUGCGUUUCUGGCAAUAAACCCCAACCCUGACCGAAAAAGAGCCCUGUUAAAUGCCACGUCAAAGUUGAUCUUGACCUACUCCCCAGAAGGGGCCUCCCAUCUUGCAAUGCCGACCACCCUUGUAUGCAUCAUUUCCUCGAUGCCAUCUAAACAAAUAAAUCUAUGAAUAAAGUUAGAGCUCUCUCUGCCUGACUGAAUCAUAUGCUCAUUAACUCUUUUAUUUCUUGCAGUCCACAGAUCCCAAAGGGUAAGACAAGAAAUUCGGCACUGCCAUGUUGAACAAAUGUUAAGAACCCAGGUAAGCUACUCAAACCACCCUUGAUUUACAUUAGAGAGAACAACUAAUAACCCCAGUAAUCCCCAGACUUCACUGGCAACAGGGCAACCACGAAAGACAUGCGCUAAGGUUUCAACUCCAUCCCUGCAUCUAGGGCAUAUUACAGUCCUUGAUAGUCUUUUAAAAUACAAGUUUGACAUAGAUGGGAUAAAAUUGUUUGAAAUACGCCAAACUGUAAUUCUAAUUUUAGAAGGUAGAUUAAGGCCCCAUAGUCUUCGACAGAACAUUCUAAUCGAGGUCUGUAAUUCCUCUAAAUUAGGAUCAUAGGUUUCAGCUUGUAAUAGUUUAUAGACACUUCUAAUAGCGAACUCUCCAGAAGGUUCACUUCUCUACACCAGCUCAUCAUCAUGCAGGAUUUUUGCGAGCGGAAUUCAGAGAAUCCUGGCGUCAUCAACGGCAUCAAAAACAUCAAUAAUAAUCUCACUUCUCCAUUCUCUAUUAGCACUAUUGAUGAGCUCGGCAACUAAUUCCAUAUUACAAUUAAGAACUGGAUAAGAAAUUUUAUAAUUAACGGAACUCGGGAUCCAUGCAUUAUAUAAGAUAUAGAUAUUGUUGCUCGUACCUACCCUCCAGCAUAGACCAUCUUGUAAUAUUUUCUUCGCUGCCCGGAUACUUCUCCAUGUAUAGGACGCUCCUGCCUUCAAACUUGAGUUAAGAAAAUCCGAAUUUGGGUAAUAUUUUGCUUUCAACACCCUACCCAUUAAUGAAUCAGGAUUUGAAAUAAGUCUCCACCCUUGUUUGGCGAGGAUGGCCACAUUAAAUUUAGCUAAGCUUCUAAAACCCAAACCUCCAUCCUCCUUUAACUUGCACGGUUUACCCCAUUCACACCAAUGCAUUCCUUUUUUGCCACCAAAAUCGUACUACAAUACUCUCCAUUUCCUCACACAAAGAUUUUAGAAGAAGGAAACAAUACAUUGAAUAGGUUGGAAUGGCCUAUAAAACAGACUUAAUAAACACCUCUUUGCCCCUUAGAAUAAAAACAUAGUACUCCAACUAUCAAUCUUCUACUUUAUACGAGCUUUCAAAAUUAGAAGAGAGGCUUUUUUUUCUUUCGGCGCACCAUAUUAGGGAGACCCAAAUAUUUCUUUGGGUUAUUCGAAUACCUCAUCCUCAAAGCACUUGAAAUUUGUACUUGCAUCAAUUCACAAGUAUUUGUAUUGAAGAAGAUCGUGGACUUAUCAAAGUUCACACAUUGUCCCGAACUAACUUCAUACUCCCUCAAAAUAUUUUUUAAGACAGCAACUCCUUUUAUUGUCGCCCCUCAAAAAAUUAUACAGCCAUCUGCAAAAAGAAUAUGGGAAACCCGUGGCUCGGUCUUACUCGCCUUAACU
Molecule: long non-coding RNA, 2294 nt
Filed under: Gossypium barbadense (sea-island cotton)
Lineage: Eukaryota; Viridiplantae; Streptophyta; Magnoliopsida; Malvales; Malvaceae
Description: long non-coding RNA (GBAR_LNC005239)
Source: RNAcentral